AUUGAACGCUGGCGGCAUGCCUUACACAUGCAAGUCGAACGGCAGCACGGGUGCUUGCACCUGGUGGCGAGUGGCGAACGGGUGAGUAAUACAUCGGAACAUGUCCUGUAGUGGGGGAUAGCCCGGCGAAAGCCGGAUUAAUACCGCAUACGAUCUACGGAUGAAAGCGGGGGACCUUCGGGCCUCGCGCUAUAGGGUUGGCCGAUAGCUGAUUAGCUAGUUGGUGGGGUAAAGGCCUACCAAGGCGACGAUCAGUAGCUGGUCUGAGAGGACGACGAGCCCCACUGGGACGGAGACACGGCCCAGACUCCUACGGGAGGCAGCAGUGGGGAAUUUUGGACAAUGGGCGAAAGCCUGAUCCAGCAAUGCCGCGUGUGUGAAGAAGGCCUUCGGGUUGUAAAGCACUUUUGUCCGGAAAGAAAUCCUUGGCUCUAAUACAGUCGGGGGAUGACGGUACCGGAAGAAUAAGCACCGGCUAACUACGUG
RNAcentral lists this ribosomal RNA (486 nucleotides) under uncultured bacterium. RNAcentral's name for it is "partial 16S ribosomal RNA". It matches the Rfam family "Bacterial small subunit ribosomal RNA", at positions 30 to 507 of the family's 1533-position model. The record is from RNAcentral.